Capsicum annuum is the source of this 1647-nucleotide long non-coding RNA. RefSeq lists it as uncharacterized. The transcript has 3 exons. Lineage: Eukaryota; Viridiplantae; Streptophyta; Magnoliopsida; Solanales; Solanaceae. The record is from RefSeq and is a predicted model, not a curated record.
UCUCCUCUAUUACUCUUUUUCAUAUUUUUCUUCUCUAUUUUUCAGUUCUGUUUUACUUUUUUUUGUUGUAUGUAAUCUGACUUCCAACUUUAUUGUUUUCUUUGUUUUUUUUUAUUCUUCUCUGUUUGUGUUGGCUGAUUAAGAUGCAAGACAGAUUUUUUGUAUUUUAGUAGUUUGCUUGAAUGCUUGUUAUGUCUAUCUAUUCUCUUUUUAAUUUGAGUAUUGAAUGAUUAUGUUAUUUAUUGAGCUUUUCGUUAUUUAUUUAUGCAUGUUUAAUAUUUUUGAAUUUUGAUCUAAAUAGCGCUUUAAUGGAAAAAAUCGUGCACUUUGCUUCACGCUUUUCGCUUCUAUGAAGCGAGCCCUCGUUGCUUUUUUUCGCCUCACUUUUCAAAACACUGGUGUUAACAAAGACGUGUUAGAUUAUGCAAAAGAGGCAAAUACAUUAAUAAGGUUUUUGAAACAUGAAGUUGCAAUAUAGGGAUCAUUUUGCAGACCACAAACUGACUUUCUCUAUACGGCAAGAAUCAAGCGUGUUACUCCUAAUUCACCGGAUUUGGACCUCUUCUCUCUCUUAUCACACCGGGACAUUUUGGGAAAUAAUAUAAUCCAAAUUUGUUUCCUGGAGAUAUAUCGAUUGACACGGUUUAGAUUAUUUGUUGUUGUUACCAAAUCCAAUCCAAUCCGAUCCGAUAUAAUCUCUUCAACAACCGAUGCAACGGCUCGUUGACACCCUCUCUGUCACCGAAGGGAUCAAAUGUCGGGGACGAUAAUUGCGAGGGGGCUAAAGUUGGAUGACUGUUUUCUAUACACUUUUUCACUCCUUGUGUUCUAUCAUUUGCUUAUACUUCUACACCUAGUAAGAUUGAGGGUCAAACCUGAAUUUUUGUAUGAACAUUGACGGCCUACUUUAGCCCCUCUCGAUAUUAAUCCACCACCUGAAAUUGCACCACAACUAGAGUCUGAGAAUUCUUCAAGGCCUGCUCCUUUUGAGCCCACUCGAGGAUCUACCAGAGUAUCUUAUACUCUUAGUUGGUAUGAAUUUUCAUCUACUUUAUGCACCAUUUUUGUUUCAAGUUGUUACUCACAAGCUUCCAAGCAUGAAUGUUGGCAGAAAGCAAUGGAGGAAGAACUUUUGGCUCUUAAAGAAAAUGACACAUGUGAUAUUGUUUCAUGUCCUUCAAAUGUGCAUCCAAUUGGAUGUAAAUGGGUUUAUUCAAUUAAUCUUUAUUCUGAUGGAACUCUUGAUCCGUACAAAGCUCGGUUGGUUGUUCUUGGUAACAGACAAGAGUAUGGUGUGAACUAUGAGGAGACUUUUGCACCGGUAGUAAAAAUGACUACUUUACAAACUAUUAUUGUCAUUAUUGCUUCACAAAAUUGGACUCUUCAUCAAAUGGAUGUCAAAAAUGCUUUUCUUCAUGGUGGUCUCAAAGAGGAUAUUUAUAUGAAACCUCUACCAUGUUUGUUCUCAUCGUCUACAUUAGAUGUAUGCAAGUUGAAGAGGUCUUUAUAUAGAUUAAAACAAGCCUCCACAGCUUAGUUUGACAAAAUUUGGUCUACUUUGCUACAAUUCUCUUUUGAGCAGAGCAAAUAUGACUCAUUUUUGUUUCUUCGAAAAACAUCUACAAGUUGUAUUCUUCUUUUGGUAUA